CAGAGGAGGACAAGAGACUUCCAGACAGAAUGGAGGGACGAUUUGGGUGACAUCUGAGACGCAGUCGCACAUCAACAAGCAGCCGGGCUCCGGGGAUAUGGCGGCGGCCUCUGUGGUCUCGGUGCUGCUGAUGGCGACUGAGAGGAGCCGGUGGCAGCGCCUCCGUAGCCCGCUGCUGCGGCGGAGGUAACGGUCGCGCUCUGGGGCGGGGGAUGUUUGGCCUGCCAGCGCCCAGAGAGGUGAGGAGGGGGAGGAGGAGCAGAGAAAAGAAUCCGCGAGACCCGGAGUUCUGCUUUCAGUCCCACCCUGAAAGAUUACUACUGUUGAUGUUGAAGCAGAUAAAAAUGCUGAGUCCAGGCAUUAAAGGUCAAAUCCACAAGACUUACCAGAAAGUAAAUACAAGUAUUCAGGUUGGGUUUCUUUCUGCCUUAAUGUCAAUCAGUAUGUUGGAAAUAAUCAAGAAGUUCAAAUUCUGAUGAAGAAGGAAGAAUUGACCCAUGAAAUUGUCAACAUUUCAUAAUAUUUUUGAAAAGGGAAUUGGCAGUGGAGGUUGAUUUGGGAGAAAAGCUGUGGCCAUAAACAUUGAAGAAGACGAGCAGAUUCUUUGUGACAUUGAGACUUUCUACAGUACCACAGUGGAGGAAAUGCCAAUGAAUGUGGCUCACAGCACUCACUCUUGUGGACUAGGUGAUAACAAUGUGCAUUGUGCUUUUUUCUUUGGGGGUAUUUGAAGCUUGUCUCAAAGCUCAUAACGGAUCAGAAAUACAGAUUUUGAUAGUAAUGCUACUCUUGCUCAUGAGCUCAUAUGAGGAAGGUCAUUGGGUUUAUCUUCUUUAGAAUUAGAAUAAUGGACUUGGAUAUUAAAGGUAGGAUUGUAAAAGUCAUUCUUAGAAGUUUAUUUCCUAGUUCUGUAAAAAUGGUUACCCUGAGCGUUCUCUGUCAUCUAAUACUAUAUUUGUGGCCUGGACAAUAUGUGCUGUAGAAAAGAAGCCAAUUCUAUUAAGCUAGUGUAUCUGCUUUUAUUGUGUAGUCAUUAGACUGAAUAGAACAAACUUGAAAACAAACUUGAUUUUUUUUUAAAGUAUUUGAAUUC
This is a long non-coding RNA of Lontra canadensis (Northern American river otter), 1093 nucleotides long. RefSeq lists it as uncharacterized. NCBI's taxonomy places the organism in Eukaryota, Metazoa, Chordata, Mammalia, Carnivora, Mustelidae. The transcript is spliced from 4 exons. The record is from RefSeq and is a predicted model, not a curated record.